This 117-nucleotide small RNA is filed under the name Macaca fascicularis (crab-eating macaque). RNAcentral describes it as "Metazoan signal recognition particle RNA (ENSMFAG00000052745.1)". Lineage: Eukaryota; Metazoa; Chordata; Mammalia; Primates; Cercopithecidae. The record is from Rfam by way of RNAcentral.
GCCAGGCAUGGUGACCCAUGCCUGUAAUCCCAGCACUUUGGGAGGCUGAGGCGGGUGGAUCACCUGAGGUCAGGAGUUCGAGACCAGCCUGGCCAACAUGGUGAGACCCUAUCUCUA